CAAAACGACUCUCGGCAACGGAUAU
This 25-nucleotide non-coding RNA is filed under the name Drosophila melanogaster (fruit fly). RNAcentral also lists the same sequence under 2 other names. The record is from RNAcentral. Lineage: Eukaryota; Metazoa; Arthropoda; Insecta; Diptera; Drosophilidae.